RNAcentral lists this ribosomal RNA (468 nucleotides) under uncultured bacterium. RNAcentral describes it as "partial 16S ribosomal RNA". It matches the Rfam family "Bacterial small subunit ribosomal RNA", at positions 28 to 507 of the family's 1533-position model. The record is from RNAcentral.
GACGAACGCUGGCGGCGUGCUUAACACAUGCAAGUCGAACGGAAAGGCCCUGCUUUUGUGGGUUGCUCGAGUGGCGAACGGGGGAGUAACACGUGAGUAACCUGCCCCUGACUUUCUGAUAACUUCACGAAACUCGGGCUAAUACAGCAUAGGAGCUCCUGCUGCAUGGUGGGGGUUGGAAAGUUUCGGCGGUUGGGGAUGGACUCGCUGCUUAUCCGCUUCUUGGUGGGGUAGUGGCUUACCAGGGCUUUGACGGGUAGCCGGCCUGAGAGGGUUGACGGGGACAUUGCGACUGCGAUACGGCGCAGAAGGCAACGGGAGGCAGCAGGGGGGAGUAUUGCGCAAUGGGGGGACGCCAGAUGCAGAAAUGCCGCGUGCGGGAUGACGGACUACGGGUUGUAAACAGAUUUCGCCUGAGACGAAGCGUGAGUGACGGUACUGGGUAAGGAAGCAACGGCUAACUACGUG